UCCGUAGGUGGCAAUCGUUGUCCGGAUUUACUGGGCGUAAAGGGAGCGUAGGUGGAUAUUUAAGUGGGAUGUGAAAUCCCCGGGCUUAACCUGGGGGCUGCAUCCCAAACUGGAUGUCUAGAGUGCAGGAGAGGAGAGUGGAAUUCCUAGUGUAGCGGUGAAAUGCGUAGAGAUUAGGAAGAACACCAGUGGCGAAGGCGACUCUCUGGACUGUAACUGACACUGAGGCUCGAAAGCGUGGGGAGAAAACAGG
This 253-nucleotide ribosomal RNA is filed under the name uncultured bacterium. RNAcentral describes it as "partial 16S ribosomal RNA". It matches the Rfam family "Bacterial small subunit ribosomal RNA", at positions 524 to 776 of the family's 1533-position model. The record is from RNAcentral.